AUGGAGAUAGGGAGGGAGGGGAAGAACAGGCUGCCGCCGCGCGAUGGAGUUCCUCAUAUAACCAAUCCACAGAUCUACUAUGAUUUAGGAGGUCGGAGAGAGUCUGUUGCCGGAAGGUUCGCCGGCGGAUGUUACAAGGCGAACACUGGUGGAGGUGACGCUGCAGGAGGGCACGGUUUUGAGCGGCGACGGGCGGAUCUGCUGUGCGUCAGGGGCGGUGGCCAUGAGCGGCGAAGGGCGAAUCUGCAGCACGGCGCAGGCCGCAGCAGACGGAAGGGGCAGCUCGCCUCCGACGUCUGA
RNAcentral lists this ribosomal RNA (300 nucleotides) under Triticum aestivum (bread wheat). RNAcentral's name for it is "partial small subunit ribosomal RNA". Lineage: Eukaryota; Viridiplantae; Streptophyta; Magnoliopsida; Poales; Poaceae. The record is from RNAcentral.